UACGUAGGGGGCAAGCGUUAUCCGGAUUUACUGGGUGUAAAGGGAGCGUAGACGGCAGCACAAGUCUGGAGUGACAUCCCAUGGCUUAACCAUGGAACUGCUUUGGAAACUGUGCAGCUGGAGUGCAGGAGAGGUCAUCGGAAUUCCUUGUGUAGCGGUGAAAUGCGUAGAUAUAAGGAAGAACACCAGUGGCGAAGGCGGAUGACUGGACGGCAACUGACGCUGAGGCUCGAAAGCGUGGGGAGCAAACAGG
This 253-nucleotide ribosomal RNA is filed under the name uncultured Eubacteriales bacterium. RNAcentral describes it as "uncultured Clostridiales bacterium partial 16S ribosomal RNA". It matches the Rfam family "Bacterial small subunit ribosomal RNA", at positions 524 to 776 of the family's 1533-position model. Lineage: Bacteria; Bacillati; Bacillota; Clostridia; Eubacteriales. The record is from RNAcentral.